GUCUACGGCUAUGCCACCCUAAACAAGCCUGAUCACAUCUGAUCUCGGAAGCUAAGCAGGGUCUGGCCUGGUUAGUAGGUGGAUAGGAGACAACCUAGGAAGACCAGGUGCUAUAGGCA
Molecule: ribosomal RNA, 119 nt
Filed under: Pteropus alecto (black flying fox)
Lineage: Eukaryota; Metazoa; Chordata; Mammalia; Chiroptera; Pteropodidae
Source: RNAcentral